Molecule: unclassified non-coding RNA, 21 nt
Filed under: Mus musculus (house mouse)
Lineage: Eukaryota; Metazoa; Chordata; Mammalia; Rodentia; Muridae
Description: oocyte_clustered_small_RNA13423
Source: RNAcentral
AGGUAGACAGGGCGGCCGGGG